Molecule: ribosomal RNA, 497 nt
Filed under: uncultured bacterium
Lineage: Bacteria
Description: partial 16S ribosomal RNA
Rfam family: Bacterial small subunit ribosomal RNA
Source: RNAcentral
GAUGAACGCUGGCGGCGUGCCUAAUACAUGCAAGUCGAGCGAACAGACGAGGAGCUUGCUCCUCUGACGUUAGCGGCGGACGGGUGAGUAACACGUGGAUAACCUACCUAUAAGACUGGGAUAACUUCGGGAAACCGGAGCUAAUCCCGGAUAAUAUAUUGAACCGCAUGGUUCAAUAGUGAAAGACGGUUUUGCUGUCACUUAUAGAUGGAUCCGCGCCGCAUUAGCUAGUUGGUAAGGUAACGGCUUACCAAGGCAACGCUGCGUAGCCGACCUGAGAGGGUGAUCGGCCACACUGGAACUGAGACACGGUCCAGACUCCUACGGGAGGCAGCAGUAGGGAAUCUUCCGCAAUGGGCGAAAGCCUUACGGAGCAACGCCGCGUGAGUGAUGAAGGUCUUCGGAUCGUAAAACUCUGUUAUUAGGGAAGAACAAAUGUGUAAGUAACUAUGCACGUCUUGACGGUACCUAAUCAGAAAGCCACGGCUAACUACGUG